This 69-nucleotide transfer RNA is filed under the name Cirroctopus glacialis. RNAcentral describes it as "tRNA-Pro". Lineage: Eukaryota; Metazoa; Mollusca; Cephalopoda; Octopoda; Opisthoteuthidae. The record is from RNAcentral.
CAAAAAAUAGUUUAUAAAAAUGAUAACAUUGGAAGUUAUUGAUCAAUAAAAAAAUUUAUUGUUUUUUGA